This 389-nucleotide ribosomal RNA is filed under the name Biecheleria sp. Its description in RNAcentral is "partial small subunit ribosomal RNA". It matches the Rfam family "Eukaryotic small subunit ribosomal RNA", at positions 582 to 975 of the family's 1831-position model. The record is from RNAcentral. Lineage: Eukaryota; Dinophyceae; Suessiales; Biecheleriaceae.
AUUCCAGCUCCAAUAGCGUAUAUUAAAGUUGUUGCGGUUAAAAAGCUCGUAGUUGGAUUUCCGCUGAGGACGACUGGUCCGCCCCCUGGGUGAGCAUCUGGUUCGGCCUGGGCAUCUUCCUGAAGAACGUAGCUGUACUUGACUGUGUGGUGCGGUAUUUAGGACAUUUACUUUGAGGAAAUUAGAGUGUUUCAAGCAAGCGCACGCUUUGAAUACAUUAGCAUGGAAUAAUAAGAUAGGACCUCGGUUCUAUUUUGUUGGUUUCUAGAGCUGAGGUAAUGAUUAACAGGGACAGUCAGGGGCACUCGUAUUCCGCCGAGAGAGGUGAAAUUCUCAGACCAGCGGAAGACGAACCACUGCGAAAGCAUUUGCCAGGGAUGUUUUCAUCA